UACGGGGGGAGCAAGCGUUGUUCGGAUUUACUGGGCGUAAAGGGCGCGUAGGCGGUCGUGACAGGUCACUUGUGAAAUCUCCGGGCUUAACUCGGAACGGUCAAGUGAUACUGUCGGACUAGAGUACAGAAGGGGCAACUGGAAUUCUCGGUGUAGCGGUGAAAUGCGCAGAUAUCGAGAGGAACACCUGCGGCGAAGGCGGGUUGCUGGGCUGAUACUGACGCUGAGGCGCGAAAGCCAGGGGAGCGAACGGG
RNAcentral lists this ribosomal RNA (254 nucleotides) under uncultured bacterium. RNAcentral describes it as "partial 16S ribosomal RNA". It matches the Rfam family "Bacterial small subunit ribosomal RNA", at positions 524 to 776 of the family's 1533-position model. The record is from RNAcentral.